Morone saxatilis (striped sea-bass) is the source of this 226-nucleotide long non-coding RNA. RefSeq lists it as uncharacterized. The record is from RefSeq and is a predicted model, not a curated record. NCBI's taxonomy places the organism in Eukaryota, Metazoa, Chordata, Actinopteri, Moronidae. The transcript is spliced from 3 exons.
GACUUUAUCUUGUGCAGGUUGAGCUGGUUACUGAAGAUUCCUGACAGGAAGGGAUUCAUCUUGUCUGGUGGAACUACAACUCUGAAAAUGGCCCUUGUGUCAUUCUGCCAGACUGAUCCUGUGCCCGGGAGUUUACGUCGACUUAUUUUUGACAGGUACCUUUUUAAGCUGUAGUACGCAAAAUGGCUGUCAUCUACUGUUAUGAUGAAAUCCAAACUGAAAUAGC